CGAGCGAACAGAUAAGGAGCUUGCUCCUUUGACGUUAGCGGCGGACGGUUGAGUAACACGUGGGCCACCUACCCUAUAACUUUGGGAUCUUCCGGGAAACCGGGGCUAAUACCAAUAAUCUCUUUUGCUUCGUGGUGAUUAACUGAAGUACGGUUUCGGUUGUCCCUAUAGGAUGGGCCCCCGGCCCUUUACCUAUUUGGGGAGGUAACGGCUCCCCAAGGCGACAAUGCUUACCCAACCUGAAAGGGGGAUCGGCCACCCGGGAACUGAAACCCGGCCCAAACUCCUACGGAAGGCACCAGUAGGGAAUCUUCCCCAAGGGGCAAAAUCCUGAUGAACCACCCCCCCGGGAGUGAAAAAGGUUUUCGGAUCGUAAAAUUCUGUUGUAAGGAAAAAACAAUUACAGUAGAAACUGGCUGUACCUUGACGGUACCUUAUUAGAAAGCCACGGCUAACUACGUGCCAGCAGCCGCGGUAAUACGUAGGUGGCAAGCGUUGUCCGGAAUUAUUGGGCGUAAGCGCGCGCAGGCGGUCCCUUAGUCUGAUGUGAAGCCACGCUCACCGUGGAGGUCAUUGGAACUGGGACUGAGUGCAGAGAGAGAGUGAAUUCCACGUGUAGCGUGAAUGCGUAGAGAUUGAGACACAGUGCGAGGCGACUCUCUGGUCUGUACUGACGCUGA
RNAcentral lists this ribosomal RNA (680 nucleotides) under Lysinibacillus sp. Its description in RNAcentral is "bacterial SSU rRNA". It matches the Rfam family "Bacterial small subunit ribosomal RNA", at positions 63 to 749 of the family's 1533-position model. Lineage: Bacteria; Bacillati; Bacillota; Bacilli; Caryophanales; Bacillaceae. The record is from RNAcentral.